AUUUUAUUAAUAAUUUAAAUAAUUUUUUUAAUUAUAAUUUUUUUUAUUUCUGUAAAAUAACGAAACGAAGUAAUUUCGUAGCUAUUUUGCGACUUCUUUACGUGGAAGCUUAACGAGGUUUUUACGAGGAAAUGUUUACAAGGAAAUGACGUGGAAAAUUCACGUGGUCUUUACGAGGAAAGCUAUCAAGAUAUUUACGUUUACUUUACGAGUAUUUACUUUCGAGUUAUUUACGUGGCUUUAACGAGGAAUGGCUUUCGAGGUAUUUACGAGGAAAUUUAGCGACGUCCUUACGUGGAAGCUUUACGUGGUCUUUACGACGAAAUAUUCUUCUUCGCUUUUACGACGAAAUUAUUUCCUCGCUACGCUACGACGAAUUAGCGAGGAUAUAUGCGUUACGACAAACGUAUAACGACGAAACGGGUUUCCUCGCUAAUUCCUCGUAACACUGCUUUUACGACGAAAUCACGAGGAAAACUGCCCUCGUAAAACUUGUGUUUUCUUGUAGUGUCCCCACAUAUUGUGGAGAACCAUAAUGCAUAUGGCAUAAACAAGUGUUACGUUGAUGGGGCAUGGAUGAAACAAGAUUCUUACACGGGGCACACCUUGAUUAUUGUCCCACACAAGAACAUAUAUAGGAUUUCAUGACAAAAACUGUUAAUUUGGAGGUAUUUUAGAACCUGAGAUUGCGUAUGAGAGUACUUUUGAAGGAUGAGUAAAUUGGAAAGAGUGAUUCCAGUUUAGGGAAGGAAUUGAAGAAUAAUGGUUAAGUGUAGUUGUGUCCAAACAAAAGUACUUAGUCUUAAUUAGUUUGUUUUAGUCGUCCUUAAUUGUAGGAGUUUGAUUUGGUAGUAGAUGUUAAGAUAUUUGAGGAGUCUGCUUAGGAGUUCUAGCUAUUUUACAAGGCCUAUUUAAGAAAGCAUUUGAUAUUAAAAAUGCAGACAUUUAGAUAUGUUGUUCUCUUGUCCCUAAAGCUUGAGUUUCAACAACACUAUUUAUAACUGAUAAUAUGGUCUUUUACUUUAUUUUAUCUGUGAGGGCUUGGUUUUGUAAGUAAUUUAUGACAAAGUAACUGGAAGGAGCAGGCUUUGAGGUUUGCGACAAUGUCCAUUGUAGCUGGAACUGAGGCAGCUAUCAUUAACAUUCCAGGCAUUUGAAGGCUGACACUUGAGGGUUAUAGCUUGCGGGUUAAUGCUGGUCCUGCUCCACCUAAGAGAGAGGAAUUGCCGUGUCUAUGGUCGUGUGAUUAUAGUGGGUAAUGAAAGAAAACAAAUGAGAAGUGCAAUUGCAUGGAAGUAAUUUCUCAACUAAACUUGCUGAACAUAAUUUAUUUCUGUGUUUCCUUCAUCAACUAGAAUAGAAAUUCUCAAUAUUGUGUAACUUAAUGAGAUCAGUCUUCAUGAACGUUUGAAUUCCACUGAAAUUAGUGACUGAUUUAGUUUCUUAUUUGAUGUCUGUUUUUCCAGGACAAAAAUCGCAGGUUUUACAUAUCAUAAUAGGCAAAUAUGUUCUCCAAAAGAUUAUCUUGAAGCUUGAAAUGAUAGUUUGUUAUGAUACUUUUCAGUUUGAACUUUUGCUAUGUAUGUGUUUUCACUUUUCAGGUACAAUUUUUUACAACAAGAUUGUUCACUUUUCUAAUGCUUAAGAAUUUAUAUUAUGCUUAAAUAUUUGGAAUUUAUUGUUUAUAUGUUUUAACUGAAAACUAUAUAUUGUCAAGAAAGAUGAUAUAUUAGAAUAAUUGUUGCAACAUCUGAAAUAAUAUAUAGCCAAAAUAGUAUUUAGCUAAUUUGUGGCCAUAUUUGCUACAAAUAUUCCAGAAUAAUUACUCAUUAAUUUAUGUAGCCACCUAGAAAAGAAAAAUCGGUAGCUAAAAUUAUCGCUAAUGAGAAACAUAACAAGCUCCAGCUAUAUCGUCGCUCGUAGCUAUGGAACUUGAACUUGAUCUUGCUAAUUCAUUGCUAUUUGGCAACAGAUUGGCUAUAUGGUCAUAAAUAGCGGUGGAGGUAAGGCCAGCAAAUUUAUUUGUGGGUUAUCCAUUUUCCGACUAGUUUUAGUGACAAAUUGUGUUUGACAGCUACAAAAUAAAUCAUUAACUAUUUCAAUAGAUUCCUUUAGUUUUCUGAACAGAUUUCAAUUUUCAGUUUUUGAAUCUUUAUAGUUGUACAUAUAUUCUUUUUGUGAUGUUAAUAAAUUUAACAUUUCAUAAAAAAAAAAAAACUUUUAGUGAAGGGAUAGUUUACAUGUGUUAUAGGUACCUAAGUUGGAAAUGUUAAAAAAAAAGGUAUCUAAGUUGGCUAGGGUUAAGUUUGGGCCAAAAUAUCCCCAAAAGUGUCUUUACCCCGAUCCGGUAUCUUGGUAGACCGAGGCAUGCUGCUUCUUUACCAAGGUGAUCUUCUCCUUGGGCUAAUAAUAAUGCAUGCUCCGGGUGAGGUGCAUUUGGUUGAAAUGAAUGCCUUAUUCCUGCACAUUUUUCUUUUUAACCACAAACUCAAAUGACUUGAAAUCACUUGCAUCUAACAUAUGAUCAACAUGCCUAAUCACCACCAAAAAAUAUCCAAAUGUGGGUCCUGUUGGGUAUAAACUAAACCAUGAGAAUCCUAUUGGUUAAAAGUAAUAUGCCAGACGCUAUCCUACUGGCUAGAAGGAAUUCGUAAUUCCUAUUGGACGGAAGGAAACUCAUGCCUAAGGAUAAAAGAAGUUCAUGUAGAUAAAUGGAAAUCUUAUAAUAUCUAAAGAUAUAUAUGAAUCUUUCUUCCAAGGGGUACACAUGAUUAUAUACUAUAAAUACAAGCUAGAAAACCUAAGAAGUGAGGUUAGCACAUUUAACCUAUUUUUACAAAAAAGCAAGCGGCUAAAACAAGUGUUCUUACUCUUAUGUGUUGUACAUUUUCUAUUUCAUCAAUAAAAAUUACUUUGAUCUUCAUCUCUUGUCUUUCGUAGUAUCACCAAGAACUGACUUUAUUUGACCCUACUAGUUUGUCGGUAAAGGAAGGAGAAUAGCCGAAACUAAUGAUGAUGAGUGUAAUCAAAGAUGAUCAAAAUGUGGCCAUCACGACACACACCGACUUGAAAUAACAUUUUGAGCCCUUGAAAGCAAGCCUUAGAAAUGUUCUCAGCUAUAGAAAUAUGAAAAUGCCACCACUUGCAACCAAGGGAUCAUCACGAAGGUGAAAGGUCCAAACCCUGGAGGAGAAAAUGGAGAGAUAUUCCAGAAGGAUAGAAGAAAGCACACAAAGUCUAGCCCAACUCGAGCCAGAUAACGUGGCUCCUCAAGGAGAGAACUCUGCCUUAGAAGAAGCCCGUAACGGCUCAGAGGUUGAACUCGAGUUUGACCCAUGCAAACACUAAUACUCUUAUAAAUGGCCCAGGGAACGUCCUCCACUAGACUCCAAUGGGAAAAUAGAACAAGCCGUAGAUGGACAAACUCUGGAUGCUAAUCGUGCAACCCUACAUAUUUUUGAAGAGGACAAAGAAACGGCCAUAGAAACACUUGAGGCAACAAUGGCUCAUAAAUCAAACUGAUAUUUCCAACAUGUUGCCCUUUGGGUUUGGAAACGACCGCCCAUAUGUGAUUCUUAGGUAGAAAGUUCAUUUCUUCACCCAUUCCUAUUUUCAGUUAUACCCAAUUGACAUCCCUCAAGCAUUUUUAUAAUUUGCAAGCUCGAUAGAAUCUACAUCAACUGUGGUAAUGAGAGCUUUAAAAUCGAAGUAGCCCUCUCAACAUAAGUAUCUUCACUUAAGUAUCUUUAUAUCAAACCUUCUUGGUGCUCUUACAUCUUAUCAAUGCUCUGUAUCGAGCAAAGCGAUAGCUUUCUUCUAUAUUAAAUCGAUUAACUCUUGGUGUAUCUGUUGCAUCAUCUUUAAUGCUAUGUCCCUCUUCUUCUUAUGAAUGAUGGUUGCCUUGAUCAACUGUGUGAUCAGAGAGGGUUAGUUUUUCUUCCGAGUGGUCUACACCUAAAGUCAUAUCAGUUUCGCCCAAAUAUCAAUGCCAAUUAUCAAAUUCUCUGAUUCUUCCUCAACAUACGCUUAUUUUCCUCUAUGUAGCAUUCCAGAUCAUUAUGAGGCUGCUUUAAGAGUUGUUAUAUACUUGGAAAAUAGUCAAGUACAAGAUAUUCUAAAAUGUACUAUCAAUCCACUUACUCUUAGUGUGUGGUGUGAUUCUUAUUGGGGUGCAUGCCCUAUGACCCGACGGUCAUUCAGUUGUUGGUUGACGGAGCGGAAAUAACUGUUAGUCAUUAAUGCGAAAGUAACGUUGAAAUC
Brassica rapa (field mustard) is the source of this 4260-nucleotide long non-coding RNA. RefSeq lists it as uncharacterized. NCBI's taxonomy places the organism in Eukaryota, Viridiplantae, Streptophyta, Magnoliopsida, Brassicales, Brassicaceae. The record is from RefSeq and is a predicted model, not a curated record.